UACGGGGGGAGCAAGCGUUGUUCGGAUUUACUGGGCGUAAAGGGCGCGUAGGCGGCCAGCACAGUUCAGUUGUGAAAUCUCCGAGCUUAACUCGGAAAGGUCAACUGAUACUGUGCGGCUAGAGUGCGGAAGGGGCAACUGGAAUUCUUGGUGUAGCGGUGAAAUGCGCAGAUAUCAGGAAGAACACCCGUGGCGAAAGCGGCUCUCUGGAACGGUACUGACGCUGAGACGCGAAAGCGUGGGGAGCGAACAGG
This 254-nucleotide ribosomal RNA is filed under the name uncultured bacterium. Its description in RNAcentral is "partial 16S ribosomal RNA". It matches the Rfam family "Bacterial small subunit ribosomal RNA", at positions 524 to 776 of the family's 1533-position model. The record is from RNAcentral.